This 1432-nucleotide ribosomal RNA is filed under the name Lactiplantibacillus pentosus. RNAcentral's name for it is "bacterial SSU rRNA". It matches the Rfam family "Bacterial small subunit ribosomal RNA". The record is from RNAcentral. Lineage: Bacteria; Bacillati; Bacillota; Bacilli; Lactobacillales; Lactobacillaceae.
UCUGGGUAUUGAUUGGUGCUUGCAUCAUGAUUUACAUUUGAGUGAGUGGCGAACUGGUGAGUAACACGUGGGAAACCUGCCCAGAAGCGGGGGAUAACACCUGGAAACAGAUGCUAAUACCGCAUAACAACUUGGACCGCAUGGUCCGAGUUUGAAAGAUGGCUUCGGCUAUCACUUUUGGAUGGUCCCGCGGCGUAUUAGCUAGAUGGUGGGGUAACGGCUCACCAUGGCAAUGAUACGUAGCCGACCUGAGAGGGUAAUCGGCCACAUUGGGACUGAGACACGGCCCAAACUCCUACGGGAGGCAGCAGUAGGGAAUCUUCCACAAUGGACGAAAGUCUGAUGGAGCAACGCCGCGUGAGUGAAGAAGGGUUUCGGCUCGUAAAACUCUGUUGUUAAAGAAGAACAUAUCUGAGAGUAACUGUUCAGGUAUUGACGGUAUUUAACCAGAAAGCCACGGCUAACUACGUGCCAGCAGCCGCGGUAAUACGUAGGUGGCAAGCGUUGUCCGGAUUUAUUGGGCGUAAAGCGAGCGCAGGCGGUUUUUUAAGUCUGAUGUGAAAGCCUUCGGCUCAACCGAAGAAGUGCAUCGGAAACUGGGAAACUUGAGUGCAGAAGAGGACAGUGGAACUCCAUGUGUAGCGGUGAAAUGCGUAGAUAUAUGGAAGAACACCAGUGGCGAAGGCGGCUGUCUGGUCUGUAACUGACGCUGAGGCUCGAAAGUAUGGGUAGCAAACAGGAUUAGAUACCCUGGUAGUCCAUACCGUAAACGAUGAAUGCUAAGUGUUGGAGGGUUUCCGCCCUUCAGUGCUGCAGCUAACGCAUUAAGCAUUCCGCCUGGGGAGUACGGCCGCAAGGCUGAAACUCAAAGGAAUUGACGGGGGCCCGCACAAGCGGUGGAGCAUGUGGUUUAAUUCGAAGCUACGCGAAGAACCUUACCAGGUCUUGACAUACUAUGCAAAUCUAAGAGAUUAGACGUUCCCUUCGGGGACAUGGAUACAGGUGGUGCAUGGUUGUCGUCAGCUCGUGUCGUGAGAUGUUGGGUUAAGUCCCGCAACGAGCGCAACCCUUAUUAUCAGUUGCCAGCAUUAAGUUGGGCACUCUGGUGAGACUGCCGGUGACAAACCGGAGGAAGGUGGGGAUGACGUCAAAUCAUCAUGCCCCUUAUGACCUGGGCUACACACGUGCUACAAUGGAUGGUACAACGAGUUGCGAACUCGCGAGAGUAAGCUAAUCUCUUAAAGCCAUUCUCAGUUCGGAUUGUAGGCUGCAACUCGCCUACAUGAAGUCGGAAUCGCUAGUAAUCGCGGAUCAGCAUGCCGCGGUGAAUACGUUCCCGGGCCUUGUACACACCGCCCGUCACACCAUGAGAGUUUGUAACACCCAAAGUCGGUGGGGUAACCUUUUAGGAACCAGCCGCCUAAGGUGGGAC